UUCAGGAAGAAUCUUAAGAAAAUCUCAAUGGCAAAGCGCGAACAAGCAAAAGAACUGCCAAUAAUGGGAAAAGAGCUAUCCUUAUGAUGUUAUGCAAGAAAAAGCAAACCACACAGAAGAACUGCACAGUGCAGUGAAGCUGGAAUGCAAGUCUUCAUCAGAAGGGAGGGAACAAACUGGAUAAUUUAACCACAAAAUAUGUGAACCACAAACAAGUGUAAACACACAGAUGACUUUCUAACACUGUUGAUGUCAGGCUUGGCCAUGCAAUUUAUUUUGGCCAAUGGAAAUUAACGAGUUUU
Molecule: long non-coding RNA, 302 nt
Organism: Hyaena hyaena (striped hyena)
Lineage: Eukaryota; Metazoa; Chordata; Mammalia; Carnivora; Hyaenidae
Exons: 3
Source: RefSeq, a predicted model, not a curated record